This 27-nucleotide small RNA is filed under the name Bombyx mori (domestic silkworm). Its description in RNAcentral is "ovarian small RNA-10726". The record is from RNAcentral. Lineage: Eukaryota; Metazoa; Arthropoda; Insecta; Lepidoptera; Bombycidae.
AAGUUUACCUUGAAAUAUGAUUACAAU